RNAcentral lists this ribosomal RNA (294 nucleotides) under Triticum aestivum (bread wheat). RNAcentral's name for it is "partial small subunit ribosomal RNA". The record is from RNAcentral. Lineage: Eukaryota; Viridiplantae; Streptophyta; Magnoliopsida; Poales; Poaceae.
AUGCGCGGAGGUAACGGCGAUGGACACGAUGACGGGUCGUCUGGGUACAGGCACGACAGCUUCGGCGCUGUCCCGGCGUCCGAGGAGGCCAUCGCCGAGCUGGAGGAGGCAGCCGUCGAGGAGACGAGGGAGGCGGAGUGCGCUGUUUGCUGGGAGAGCUUCGAGGUAGGCGACAAGAUCAGGAAGAUGCCGUGCUCCCAUGGAUACCACGAGAGCUACAUCUUCAGGUGGCUCCGGAUCAGCCGCGCCUGCCCGCUCUGCCGCUUCCCGAUGUCCGCCGCCGCCGACCAUUAA